RNAcentral lists this ribosomal RNA (550 nucleotides) under uncultured bacterium. RNAcentral's name for it is "partial 16S ribosomal RNA". It matches the Rfam family "Bacterial small subunit ribosomal RNA", at positions 355 to 895 of the family's 1533-position model. The record is from RNAcentral.
UGGGGAAUUUUGGACAAUGGGGGAAACCCUGAUCCAGCCAUCCCGCGUGUGCGAUGAAGGCCUUCGGGUUGUAAAGCACUUUUGGCAGGAAAGAAACGUCGCGGGUUAAUACCCCGCGAAACUGACGGUACCUGCAGAAUAAGCACCGGCUAACUACGUGCCAGCAGCCGCGGUAAUACGUAGGGUGCAAGCGUUAAUCGGAAUUACUGGGCGUAAAGCGUGCGCAGGCGGUUCGGAAAGAAAGAUGUGAAAUCCCAGAGCUUAACUUUGGAACUGCAUUUUUAACUACCGGGCUAGAGUGUGUCAGAGGGAGGUGGAAUUCCGCGUGUAGCAGUGAAAUGCGUAGAUAUGCGGAGGAACACCGAUGGCGAAGGCAGCCUCCUGGGAUAACACUGACGCUCAUGCACGAAAGCGUGGGGAGCAAACAGGAUUAGAUACCCUGGUAGUCCACGCCCUAAAACGAUGUCAAACUAGCUGUUGGGGGCCUUCGGGCCUUGGUAGCGCAGCUAACGCGUGAAGUUGACCGCCUGGGGAGUACGGUCGCAAGAUU